Molecule: ribosomal RNA, 356 nt
Filed under: uncultured eukaryote
Lineage: Eukaryota
Description: SSU rRNA
Rfam family: Eukaryotic small subunit ribosomal RNA
Source: RNAcentral
CAAUAGCGUAUAUUAAAGUUGUUGCAGUUAAAAAGCUCGUAGUUGGAUUUCUGGGCUGGCCGGACGGUCCACCUCACGGUGAGAACUGGCUGGUCGGCCCUUCCUCUCGAAGUGUUGCGGUGUUCUUAACUGAGUGCUGUGGCAAUUCGGGACCUUUACUUUGAAAAAUUAGAGUGUUCAAAGCAGGCCUUCGCUUGAAUACAUUAGCAUGGAAUAAUGGAAUAGGACUUUGGUUCUAUUUUGUUUGGUUUCUUAGGACCGAAGUAAUGAUUAAUAGGGACGAGUGGGGCGAUUAGUAUUUAAUUGUUCAGAGGUGGAAUUACUUGGAUUUAUUGAAAGACUAACUAACUGCGAAG